CAUCCGAUAACUGUCAUGCUUGAGUGCAGGAGAGGAAGGUAGAAUUCCCGGUGUAGCGGUGAAAUGCGUAGAGAUCGGGAGGAAUACCGGUGGCGAAGGCGGCCUUCUGGACUGACACUGACACUGAGGUGCGAAAGCGUGGGUAGCAAACAGGAUUAGAUACCCUGGUAGUCCACGCCGUAAACGAUGUCGACUAGCCGGUGGGAGCCUCGAGUUCUGACUGGCGGAGUUAACGCGAUAAGUCGACCGCCUGGGGAGUACGGCCGCAAGGUUAAAACUCAAAUGAAUUGACGGGGGCCCGCACAAGCGGUGGAGCAUGUGGUUUAAUUCGAUGCAACGCGAAGAACCUUACCUGCCCUUGACAUCUUCGGAAGCCUACAGAGAUCUUGGUGUGCCUUCGGGAACCGAAAGACAGGUGCUGCAUGGCUGUCGUCAGCUCGUGUUGUGAAAUGUUGGGUUAAGUCCCGUAACGAGCGCAACCCCUGUCCCUAUUUGCCAGCGAUUCGGUCGGGAACUCUAGGGAGACUGCCGGUGACAAACCGGAGGAAGGUGGGGACGACGUCAAGUCAUCAUGGCCCUUACGGGUAGGGCUACACACGUGCUACAAUGGCGCGUACAAAGGGUUGCGAGAUCGCGACAUGAAGCUAAUCUCAUAAAGUGCUGCCUCAGUCCGGAUCGGAGUCUGCAACUCGACUCCGUGAAGUCGGAAUCGCUAGUAAUCGUGCAUCAGAAUGGCACGGUGAUACGU
Molecule: ribosomal RNA, 748 nt
Filed under: Franzmannia pantelleriensis
Lineage: Bacteria; Pseudomonadati; Pseudomonadota; Gammaproteobacteria; Oceanospirillales; Halomonadaceae
Description: bacterial SSU rRNA
Rfam family: Bacterial small subunit ribosomal RNA
Source: RNAcentral